Molecule: ribosomal RNA, 285 nt
Filed under: uncultured bacterium
Lineage: Bacteria
Description: partial 16S ribosomal RNA
Rfam family: Bacterial small subunit ribosomal RNA
Source: RNAcentral
CCCGGCUAACUUCGUGCCAGCAGCCGCGGUAAUACGAAUGGGGCUAGCGUUGCUCGGAAUCACUGGGCGUAAAGCGCACGUAGGCGGCUCGUUAAGUCAGGGGUGAAAGCCUGGAGCUCAACUCCAGAACUGCCCUUGAUACUGGUGAGCUCGAGUCCGGGAGAGGUGAGUGGAACUGCGAGUGUAGAGGUGAAAUUCGUAGAUAUUCGCAAGAACACCAGUGGCGAAGGCGGCUCACUGGCCCGGUACUGACGCUGAGGUGCGAAAGCGUGGGGAGCAAACAGG